RNAcentral lists this ribosomal RNA (446 nucleotides) under uncultured bacterium. Its description in RNAcentral is "partial 16S ribosomal RNA". It matches the Rfam family "Bacterial small subunit ribosomal RNA", at positions 338 to 795 of the family's 1533-position model. The record is from RNAcentral.
CCUACGGGGUGCAGCAGUCGAGAAUCAUUCACAAUGGGGGAAACCCUGAUGGUGCGACGCCGCGUGGGGGAAUGAAGGUCUUCGGAUUGUAAACCCCUGUCAUGUGGGAGCAAAUUAAAAAGAUAGUACCACAAGAGGAAGAGACGGCUAACUCUGUGCCAGCAGCCGCGGUAAUACAGAGGUCUCAAGCGUUGUUCGGAAUCACUGGGCGUAAAGCGUGCGUAGACUGUUUCGUAAGUCGUGUGUGAAAGGCGCGGGCUCAACCCGCGGACGGCACAUGAUACUGCGAGACUAGAGUAGUGGAGGGGGAACCGGAAUUCUCGGUGUAGCAGUGAAAUGCGUAGAUAUCGAGAGGAACACUCGUGGCGAAGGCGGGUUCCUGGACAUUAACUGACGCUGAGGCACGAAGGCCAGGGGAGCGAAAGGGAUUAGAUACCCCAGUAGUC